AGAGAACUUGGUCAAGGGGUUAAGACGUCGCCUUUUCACGGCGAAGGCGUGGGUUCGAAUCCCACUUUCUCUC
This 73-nucleotide transfer RNA is filed under the name Caudoviricetes sp. RNAcentral describes it as "tRNA-Glu". It matches the Rfam family "tRNA". Rfam says of the family: Transfer RNA (tRNA) molecules are approximately 80 nucleotides in length. Their secondary structure includes four short double-helical elements and three loops (D, anti-codon, and T loops). The record is from RNAcentral. Lineage: Duplodnaviria; Heunggongvirae; Uroviricota; Caudoviricetes.